This 492-nucleotide ribosomal RNA is filed under the name uncultured bacterium. RNAcentral describes it as "partial 16S ribosomal RNA". It matches the Rfam family "Bacterial small subunit ribosomal RNA", at positions 28 to 507 of the family's 1533-position model. The record is from RNAcentral.
GAUGAACGCUGGCGGUGUGCCUAAUACAUGCAAGUCGAGCGAAAAGAUGAGGAGCUUGCUCCCUUGAGGUUGGCGACGGACGGGUGAGUAACACAUGCAUAACCUACUAAUAAGACUGGGGUGACUACGGAGAGCCGCAUCUGAUACCAGCUCAUACGUCCUACGGCUUGGAGCAAUAGAUAAUCAGAGCUUUCGUGAUUGUAAUAGCCGAUGUCGGAUUAGCUAGUUGGCAAGGUAAAGGCCCACCAAGGCAACGAUGCGUAGCUGACCUGAGAGGGUGAUCAGCCACACUGGAACUGAGACACGGUCCAGACUCCUACGGGAGGCAGCAGUAGGGAAUCUUCCACAAUGGGCGAAAGCCUGACGGAGCAACGCCGCGUGAGUGAUGAAGGUCUUCGGAUCGUAAAGCUCUGUUAUUAGGGAAGAACAACUGUGUAAGUAACUAUGCCCGUCUUGACGGUACCUAAUCAGAAAGCCACGGCUAACUUCGUG